UACAGAGGUCUCAAGCGUUGUUCGGAUUGUCAUUGGGCGUAAAGGGUGCGUAGGUGGCGCUGUAAGUCGGGGUGUGAAAUUUCGGAGCUUAACUCCGAAACUGCAUUCGAUACUGCCGUGCUUGAGGACUGGAGAGGAGACUGGAAAUUUACGGUGUAGCGGUGAAAUGCGUAGAUAUCGUAAGGAAGACCAGUGGCGAAGGCGGGUCUCU
Molecule: ribosomal RNA, 211 nt
Filed under: uncultured bacterium
Lineage: Bacteria
Description: partial 16S ribosomal RNA
Rfam family: Bacterial small subunit ribosomal RNA
Source: RNAcentral